AACGAACGCUGGCGGCAUGCCUAACACAUGCAAGUCGAACGAGACCUUCGGGUCUAGUGGCGCACGGGUGCGUAACGCGUGGGAACCUGCCCUUAGGUUCGGAAUAACUCCCCGAAAGGGGUGCUAAUACCGGAUAAUGUCUUCGGACCAAAGAUUUAUCGCCUUUGGAUGGGCCCGCGUUGGAUUAGCUAGUUGGUAUGGUAAAAGCCUACCAAGGCGACGAUCCAUAGCUGGUCUGAGAGGAUGUUCAGCCACACUGGGACUGAGACACGGCCCAGACUACUACGGGAGGCAGCAGUGGGGAAUAUUGGACAAUGGGCGAAAGACUGAUCCAGCAAUGCCGCGUGAGUGAUGAAGGCCUUAGGGUUGUAAAGCUCUUUUACCCGGGAUGAUAAUGACAGUACCGGGAGAAUAAGCGCCGGCUAACUCCGUG
This 433-nucleotide ribosomal RNA is filed under the name uncultured bacterium. RNAcentral's name for it is "partial 16S ribosomal RNA". It matches the Rfam family "Bacterial small subunit ribosomal RNA", at positions 29 to 507 of the family's 1533-position model. The record is from RNAcentral.